GCUCUCGGGUGACGAGCGGCGGACGGGUGAGUAAUGUCUGGGAAACUGCCUGAUGGAGGGGGAUAACUACUGGAAACGGUAGCUAAUACCGCAUAACGUCGCAAGACCAAAGUGGGGGACCUUCGGGCCUCAUGCCAUCAGAUGUGCCCAGAUGGGAUUAGCUAGUAGGUGGGGUAAUGGCUCACCUAGGCGACGAUCCCUAGCUGGUCUGAGAGGAUGACCAGCCACACUGGAACUGAGACACGGUCCAGACUCCUACGGGAGGCAGCAGUGGGGAAUAUUGCACAAUGGGCGCAAGCCUGAUGCAGCCAUGCCGCGUGUAUGAAGAAGGCCUUCGGGUUGUAAAGUACUUUCAGCGAGGAGGAAGGCAUUAAGGUUAAUAACCUUAGUGAUUGACGUUACUCGCAGAAGAAGCACCGGCUAACUCCGUGCCAGCAGCCGCGGUAAUACGGAGGGUGCAAGCGUUAAUCGGAAUUACUGGGCGUAAAGCGCACGCAGGCGGUCUGUUAAGUCAGAUGUGAAAUCCCCGGGCUCAACCUGGGAACUGCAUUUGAAACUGGCAGGCUUGAGUCUUGUAGAGGGGGGUAGAAUUCCAGGUGUAGCGGUGAAAUGCGUAGAGAUCUGGAGGAAUACCGGUGGCGAAGGCGGCCCCCUGGACAAAGACUGACGCUCAGGUGCGAAAAGCGUGGGGAGCAAACAGGGAUUAGAUACCCUGGUAGUCCACGCUGUAAAACGAUGUCGACUUGGAGGUUGUUCCCUUGAGGAGUGGCUUCCGGAGCUAACGCGUUAAGUCGACCGCCUGGGGAGUACGGCCGCAAGGUUAAAACUCAAAUGAAUUGACGGGGGCCCGCACAAGCGGUGGAGCAUGUGGUUUAAUUCGAUGCAACGCGAAGAACCUUACCUACUCUUGACAUCCAGAGAACUUAGCAGAGAUGCUUUGGUGCCUUCGGGAACUCUGAGACAGGUGCUGCAUGGCUGUCGUCAGCUCGUGUUGUGAAAUGUUGGGUUAAGUCCCGCAACGAGCGCAACCCUUAUCCUUUGUUGCCAGCGGUUCGGUCGGGAACUCAAAGGAGACUGCCAGUGAUAAACUGGAGGAAGGUGGGGAUGACGUCAAGUCAUCAUGGCCCUUACGAGUAGGGCUACACACGUGCUACAAUGGCAUAUACAAAGAGAAGCGACCUCGCGAGAGCAAGCGGACCUCAUAAAGUAUGUCGUAGUCCGGAUUGGAGUCUGCAACUCGACUCCAUGAAGUCGGAAUCGCUAGUAAUCGUAGAUCAGAAUGCUACGGUGAAUACGUUCCCGGGCCUUGUACACACCGCCCGUCACACCAUGGGAGUGGGUUGCAAAAGAAGUA
Molecule: ribosomal RNA, 1354 nt
Filed under: unidentified
Description: bacterial SSU rRNA
Rfam family: Bacterial small subunit ribosomal RNA
Source: RNAcentral